Molecule: ribosomal RNA, 568 nt
Filed under: uncultured bacterium
Lineage: Bacteria
Description: bacterial SSU rRNA
Rfam family: Bacterial small subunit ribosomal RNA
Source: RNAcentral
CCUACGGGAGGCAGCAGUGGGGAAUAUUGGGCAAUGGAGGAAACUCUGACCCAGCGACGCCGCGUGCGGGAUGAAGGCCUUCGGGUUGUAAACCGCUUUCAGCAGGGAAGAAGCGAAAGUGACGGUACCUGCAGAAGAAGCACCGGCUAACUAUGUGCCAGCAGCCGCGGUAAUACAUAGGGUGCAAGCGUUGUCCGGAAUUAUUGGGCGUAAAGAGCUCGUAGGUGGUUCGUCACGUCGGAUGUGAAAAUCUGGGGCUUAACCCCAGACCUGCAUUCGAUACGGGCGAGCUUGAGUAUGGUAGGGGAGUCUGGAAUUCCUGGUGUAGCGGUGGAAUGCGCAGAUAUCAGGAGGAACACCAAUGGCGAAGGCAGGACUCUGGGCCAUUACUGACACUGAGGAGCGAAAGCGUGGGGAGCGAACAGGAUUAGAUACCCUGGUAGUCCACGCCGUAAACGGUGGGCACUAGUUGUGGGGACCUUCCACGGUCUCUGCGACGCAGCUAACGCAUUAAGUGCCCCGCCUGGGGAGUACGAUCGCAAGAUUAAAACUCAAAAUGAAUUGACGG